CUUUGUUGCCUGCCUUUAGACAAUUUAUGCAUGGCUCUUGAGCAGGUGAUGGCCCUCAUUUUGCCUUAGGAACAAGAUUUUGGUCACAUUCUUUCUAUCAGAUAAUAUAUUAUAAUUUUUUUACUCGACAAAUUCUUUAACUUGUCAUCAACCUCUUUUCUUUUACAAAAUUUAGCUCAGGUGAUAUUGCUGAAUAAUACAA
This 202-nucleotide long non-coding RNA is filed under the name Glycine max (soybean). RNAcentral describes it as "long non-coding RNA (GMAX_LNC000622)". Lineage: Eukaryota; Viridiplantae; Streptophyta; Magnoliopsida; Fabales; Fabaceae. The record is from RNAcentral.